GUUCGUAUUUAUAUGGAUGUCAUUGAACACUUUGACUAGGCCAUGUUCAUGCUGUGGUAACCAUGGAAACCAGACUGGAAGCAGUCAAAGCGACUGGUUAUCGUUAGGAAGUUAUUUAACUGUU
This is a long non-coding RNA of Poecilia latipinna (sailfin molly), 124 nucleotides long. RefSeq lists it as uncharacterized. The record is from RefSeq and is a predicted model, not a curated record. NCBI's taxonomy places the organism in Eukaryota, Metazoa, Chordata, Actinopteri, Cyprinodontiformes, Poeciliidae. The transcript has 2 exons.